CUCCUUUCCCUCUCUCUGGACCUGACAGGGCUCUGCCUGCUGUGGGAGGUCUGGACCUGACGGGGCUCUGCCUGCUGUGGGAGGUCUGGAUCUGACGGGGCUCUGCCUGCUGUGGGAGGUCUGGACCUGACGGGGCUCUGCCUGCUGUGGGAGGUCUGGAUCUGACGGGGCUCUGCGUACUGUGGGAGGUCUGGAUCUGACGGGGCUCUGCCUGCUGUGGGAGGUCUGGAUCUGACGGGGCUCUGCCUGCUGUGGGAGGUCUGGACCUGACAGGGCGCUGCCGGCCUAUGCUAUCCUGCAUCUCAUGGGCCCAUGAAAGGUGUGAGGGGCAGGAAUGGGCGGACUUCUCUUUC
Molecule: long non-coding RNA, 353 nt
Organism: Oncorhynchus tshawytscha (Chinook salmon)
Lineage: Eukaryota; Metazoa; Chordata; Actinopteri; Salmoniformes; Salmonidae
Exons: 3
Source: RefSeq, a predicted model, not a curated record